RNAcentral lists this non-coding RNA (25 nucleotides) under Mus musculus (house mouse). The record is from RNAcentral. Lineage: Eukaryota; Metazoa; Chordata; Mammalia; Rodentia; Muridae.
UAGUUCUAUCACUGAAUUUCAGCCU